Molecule: ribosomal RNA, 468 nt
Filed under: uncultured bacterium
Lineage: Bacteria
Description: partial 16S ribosomal RNA
Rfam family: Bacterial small subunit ribosomal RNA
Source: RNAcentral
GACGAACGCUGGCGGCGUGCUUAACACAUGCAAGUCGAACGGAAAGGCCCUGCUUUUGUGGGGUGCUCGAGUGGCGAACGGGUGAGUAACACGUGAGUAACCUGCCCUUGACUUUGGGAUAACUUCAGGAAACUGGGGCUAAUACCGGAUAGGAGCUCCUGCUGCAUGGUGGGGGUUGGAAAGUUUCGGCGGUUGGGGAUGGACUCGCGGCUCAUCAGCUUGUUGGUGGGGUAGUGGCUUACCAAGGCUUUGACGGGUAGCCGGCCUGAGAGGGCGACCGGCCACAUUGGGACUGAGAUACGGCCCAGACUCCUACGGGAGGCAGCAGUGGGGAAUAUUGCACAAUGGGCGGAAGCCUGAUGCAGCAACGCCGCGUGCGGGAUGACGGCCUUCGGGUUGUAAACCGCUUUCGCCUGUGACGAAGCGUGAGUGACGGUAAUGGGUAAAGAAGCACCGGCUAACUACGUG